RNAcentral lists this ribosomal RNA (387 nucleotides) under uncultured bacterium. Its description in RNAcentral is "bacterial SSU rRNA". It matches the Rfam family "Bacterial small subunit ribosomal RNA", at positions 28 to 417 of the family's 1533-position model. The record is from RNAcentral.
GACGAACGCUGGCGGCGUGCUUAACACAUGCAAGUCGAGCGGUAAGGCCCUUUCGGGGGUACACGAGCGGCGAACGGGUGAGUAACACGUGGGUGACCUGCCCUCAGCUCUGGGAUAAGCCCGGGAAACUGGGUCUAAUACCGGAUAUGACUCCACGGUGCAUGUCGUGGGGUGGAAAGCCUUGUGCGGCUGAGGAUGGGCCCGCGGCCUAUCAGCUUGUUGGUGGGGUGAUGGCCACCAAGGCGACGACGGGUAGCCGGCCUGAGAGGGCGACCGGCCACACUGGGACUGAGACACGGCCCAGACUCCUACGGGAGGCAGCAGUGGGGAAUCUUGCGCAAUGGGCGAAAGCCUGACGCAGCGACGCCGCGUGAGGGAUGACGGCCU